RNAcentral lists this ribosomal RNA (449 nucleotides) under uncultured bacterium. RNAcentral describes it as "bacterial SSU rRNA". It matches the Rfam family "Bacterial small subunit ribosomal RNA", at positions 29 to 506 of the family's 1533-position model. The record is from RNAcentral.
AUGAAUGCUGGCGGCGUGCCUAACACAUGCAAGUCGAGCGGUAACAGGAGUAAUUUAUUACUUGCUGACGAGCGGCGGACGGCUGAGUAACGCGUGGGAACGUGCCCCAAAGUGAGGAAUAAGCUCCAGAAAUGGAGUCUAAUGCCGCAUAUGAUCUUCGGAUUAAAGGAUUUAUCCGCUUUGGGAGCGGCCCGCGUUGGAUUAGGUAGUUGGUAGGGUAAUGGCCUACCAAGCCGACGAUCUAUAGCUGGUCUGAGAGGAUGAUCAGCCAGACUGGGACUGAGACACGGCCCAGACUCCUACGGGAGGCAGCAGUGAGGAAUCUUCCACAAUGGGCGAAAGCCUGAUGGAGCAACGCCGCGUGAAGGAUGAAGGCCCUAGGGUCGUAAACUUCUUUUAUAAGUGAAGAAUAUGACGGUAACUUAUGAAUAAGCACCGGCUAACUACGU